UACGGAGGGUGCGAGCGUUAUCCGGAAUUACUGGGUUUAAAGGGUGCGUAGGCGGCUUUGUAAGUCAGGAGUGAAAGUUUGCAGCUCAACUGUAAAAUUGCUUCUGAUACUGCAGAGCUGGAAUCAGGAUGAGGUCAGCGGAAUGUGGCAUGUAGCGGUGAAAUGCAUAGAUAUGCCAUAGAACACCAAUUGCGAAGGCAGCUGGCUAGACCGGUAUUGACGCUGAGGCACGAAAGCGUGGGGAGCGAACAGG
RNAcentral lists this ribosomal RNA (253 nucleotides) under uncultured bacterium. RNAcentral's name for it is "partial 16S ribosomal RNA". It matches the Rfam family "Bacterial small subunit ribosomal RNA", at positions 524 to 776 of the family's 1533-position model. The record is from RNAcentral.